This is a long non-coding RNA of Anolis carolinensis (green anole), 1931 nucleotides long. RefSeq lists it as uncharacterized. Lineage: Eukaryota; Metazoa; Chordata; Lepidosauria; Squamata; Anolidae. The transcript has 3 exons. The record is from RefSeq and is a predicted model, not a curated record.
GAAAGGAAGGCAAGAGGCUGGGCUCGGUGACUCAUGCGGCGGGAUAGAGCAGAGUUGAAAACGUGAGAGGUCGGGGAAAGGCGGUGCGUGUGUGGAGUGGAGCGCUUUUGGCGCACGCUUCGGGCUUCUUCUGUUCUGAGGCGGACGUGUGCCUCCACUCGGCCCUGGGUUUCGGUUUCCCCUGAAAAUAACCCGGGGUUUCUGCCUCCGCUUCCCUCCCAAGAAAGCCCUCCUCGUGCUCUGAGUCAGGGAAGAAGCUGUCCAAGGAUCCUGACCCGGCAUUGCAAGAUGUUGUAAAAUAAGCUAUCACAAGUAUGGGUUUGACUGAGAAGUUUAAAAAAUGACAAGCAAAGCAGGAAUGGAAACAUGAGGGAGGCACUCCAGCAAGACAGCGAUCCAAUAUUUAACAUCGGAUUGCCAGAAAGAGAGGUCCAGCAGCUUCAAGGUGAUUUCAGCCAAUACACAGCCUACUCUUUUUUUCUCUUUAUAGGCAUUUGGACUGAUCCAGUAGACCUCUUCUUGUCUAAGCUCUGAUAGAUGUGUGGUAUAUUGGUUUGAGUGUUGGACUAAUAUUGAGUAAUUUCAGCUUCAGGUGUCUCGGCAUGUCUAACUUCCCAGAAGACAAAAUCAGACACAGAUGGGUAGAAAGCAAAAGCAGAGGUUUAGUCUCAAUGGCCAGAGAAGAUGUCAGCAGAGAAAGCACUCCAAAGUACUGACAUACCUCAAUUGUAAACCCAGAGCAUUUUUAAUUUCAUUUGACAGCUAUUCAAGAAAACUGCACCACCUCUGGAUUGUUCAAAAAACUGUCCAGCUAGGAUCCGUGUUCUGAUUGGCUUAGGACUCUGUCGGAUGUCAUCACUAGUUGGCUCUUUGUGGUGAUGAAAAGUCAAUAAGCUGUCAUUUGAGUAUUUGAAGUGUCAGCCCAUUUAAAGGUCCCCCUCAGAGAGGAGCACAAUCCAAAAAGAAUGUGAUGUGCCAAUAUACUUAAUGAGGUAGCUCUAGGUAACACAAUAAGGUUAGUUCAGUGUACACAAUGGAUACUUGGGGAUGAUGACCAUUUCAAAAGGGGUGGUAGGCUUGAAACAUGAGUGCUGGAUCUUUUCCACAGAUAGCCCUGAGGCAUCAUUUUGACACCUCAGGUAAAUCCUUGACAGGUCACAAGAUCUGUCUGGAAGGGUCCACAGGCAUGCCACAGUUUAAAGAAGCAGAUCUGUUCCUGGGCAUUCUUUAAGAGAAAUUUGGUACAAGAAACAUGGAAACAUGGAAAGAAUAGGAAGAGCAUAACCUACAAUAUUUCACAGAUGAAAAUUGAAUUAUACAUGGACAAGCAACAUCAGAAUGCUAAUAAAAUGGAUACUUCUAUAACAAAACAAAACAAAAAAACCUCUGGUUUCAGAAAGGAGAAAAUGAAGGGUCUUGAAAAGUGUAAAAAGACUUCAGUAGGUUGCCAUUGUCAAAGCUACCAUCCCAUUUGGAAUAAUGAAGGAAUAAGCUACCUCCAUAGGAAUGGAUCCAGUAAGUAACCCUUAGGUUCUGGGACCAAUUUCCUUCUGGCAGCUUUUUAGGGUACUUCCAGACAGCACCAAAAUCCAGAUUUUAAAUGGGAGGUUAAAAAAAUCAUACCCUGACUGCAGGUCUCUACACAGACUUCUUAGUCCCAGGAUUGGAUCCUCCGCAAUCCUCACAGGCUUACUCUGUAUUGGAACAAGAUUGAGGGCAGACAGGGAACAUCCAGUGUAAUUUUUAAAGACAAAAAUCAUGCCAUUUUGCUGGACUGUAUAUAUGCACAUGCAAGUAUCUUAAUAUAAAUAUAAGCAGAUUCGUAUGUGUGCAUAUGAGGUUCAGUGCAUAAUGGAGGGAUUUAAAAAACAAACUUCAGCUGGAUCUCUCCCUCCAAUUGAUACUUCAAGCUCUGUUUAAUAUCAUAAAAU